Long non-coding RNA from Pezoporus flaviventris, 331 nucleotides. RefSeq lists it as uncharacterized. The transcript is spliced from 3 exons. The record is from RefSeq and is a predicted model, not a curated record. NCBI's taxonomy places the organism in Eukaryota, Metazoa, Chordata, Aves, Psittaciformes, Psittacidae.
AUUUAUGGUCCCAGUUCCUGACUUUUUAAUGAGAAGGCUGACAGCAGGUUUCAGUCAUUCCUGCUAUGGCCGGGCUAUCAUCUCUCACACUUCAAGUCAUGGCACUUCAUCUACUCUGAAUAUUACUCAUUCUGGGAUCUGGAGGUAGUUCAGUCUUCUGGAGGGUCCAGUUAACACCCAGCCUCAAGACUUUUGAGAAGCAGAAAAUGAAGGUGAUCAGAUCAACUUGGGAUUAAUGCUUCUUUGAUUUGGCACUAGCUGUUUGCACCGCGAUAUUGCAAGUCAUGCCUUUGACAAGAAGACUAAUUACAUUGCUCCCGUGAAGGUGUGU